RNAcentral lists this long non-coding RNA (1062 nucleotides) under Chloebia gouldiae (Gouldian finch). Its description in RNAcentral is "Erythrura gouldiae (Gouldian finch) lncRNA (ENSEGOG00005011916.1)". The record is from RNAcentral. Lineage: Eukaryota; Metazoa; Chordata; Aves; Passeriformes; Passeridae.
AUGUGGGAAAUUCUGAAUGGUGUGGAGAAUGAGAGAGAAUGGGAAUUUUUACAUAAACAAAUUCAGCACCCAGACAACGUGGGGAAAUAUCUGGAAGAGAACUGCCAUGAUGACUCUAAGGAGAAAAAGAUCAUUGCAGUGAGCUGGGACCUGGCAUAUGCUUAUUGCACCCUGCUAGAUACUGUAGGGCAGCAGACAGACAAAGGGGGGCAGGGAGAUAAAUCAGCAGCUAUCCCAGUCACUCAGGCUGCAGCCAACAGCCCAGCUACUCAGGUUGUAGCUAAAGCAGACAGUGAGCCUAAGCCUGCAGCUAAGCCAGACAGUGAGCCUAAGCCACUGGCAGUCACCACCGGAAAGAAGCACACAAUCAUCACACAGCUAGUGAUCAGUGAUGAUGAUAUGGGGGAAGAACCCUCAAUGCCAAUUCCUGACAAAAAAGUCAGAGUCAAAGCAACUGGCACAAGAUCAGAGGCCAGUAUUGAGUCCUUUUCCCUAAGGGACCUUGGUGGCCUAAGAAAGGAUUACACUCAACGACCUGAUGAGUCUGUAAUUAGUUGGUUGGUCCAUCUUUGGGAUGCUGCAGGGGAGGCUACAAUUCUGGAUGGCAUUGAAGUGAGACAUUUGGGAUCCCUGUCACAUGAUCCUGUCAUUGACCAAGGAAUGAUGAGGGGGGCUAACCCUCACAGCCUCUGGGCACAGGACCUUAGAAGUGUGUCACAAAGAUACCUGUGUGCAGACAAUCUCUAUAUGGAGCAAAUCCAAUGGAAGACCAUAAAACAAGAGAUUCAACACUUGAGAAAAAUAGCAGUGGCAGAGAUUUUCUUCCCAGAUGACCUAAACACUGUAAAUCCAGACUUAGUACCAUGUACAUCUGUGACGUGGCAAAAACCUGUACAGCUUGGGCCACAUGAAUAUGCUUCUGCUUUAGCAAUAAUAAAGCAGGAUGAUGGAGAGGAGUCCAUACUUAAUAUGGCAAAGAAGCUCCAAGCAUAUGCAUAUGCAUGGCCCAACCUAUGCAAGAAUCACAGCUAUAGAAACACGUCUGCAGAAAUUAAAAGAUAA